RNAcentral lists this ribosomal RNA (385 nucleotides) under Portunus pelagicus (sand crab). RNAcentral describes it as "partial 12S ribosomal RNA". It matches the Rfam family "Microsporidia small subunit ribosomal RNA", at positions 752 to 1211 of the family's 1311-position model. The record is from RNAcentral. Lineage: Eukaryota; Metazoa; Arthropoda; Malacostraca; Decapoda; Portunidae.
GGCAAUUAUUUUUAAAAUACCUGAGUAGUAACAGCUAUGUUCUAAAAAUUUGAAAAAUUUGGCGGUGGUUUAGUCUUGUCAGAGGAACCUGUCUUUUAAACGAUACACCACGAAAUAUCUUACUUGAGUUUGUAUAGUAUGUAUACCAUCAUUAUUAGGUAAUUUUUAUAGAAUAAAUUACUGAAAAGUUUCGAUAAUGUUGAAUAUAUUAGAUCAAGGUGCAGCUGAUACUCAAGUUAAGGUGGGUUACAAUAGUAUUUACGCUAUUACGGAUAAAUAAAUGAAACUUUACUUUGAAGGAGGAUUUGAUUGUAAAUUUAGUUUAAUAAGCUAAUUUGAUAUAAGCUCUAAAGCAUGUACACACCGCCCGUCAAACCAUCCAAAA